RNAcentral lists this long non-coding RNA (271 nucleotides) under Musa acuminata (dwarf banana). RNAcentral's name for it is "long non-coding RNA (MACU_LNC001924)". Lineage: Eukaryota; Viridiplantae; Streptophyta; Magnoliopsida; Zingiberales; Musaceae. The record is from RNAcentral.
UAUAUGUAAAUAUAGAAAUUUCAAGGACUAAACUGCUAAGUUACAAAAUGAAAAGAAAAUAAAGAAAACCAAAAAUUUCGGUUUUAUCCCACCGCCUCCCACGUCUCUCUCUGUUCUUAACAGAGAGAGAAGCGGUGGGGCGUGGGGAGAAGAAGAAGAGAAGUUGAGGGAGAAGAGAAGAAAAGAAGAGGAAGAGGGAAAAGAAGAGAUUAGGAAGAAGUGGGAGAAGAGAAGAAAAGAAGAAGAAGAAGAAGAAAAGAGGGAAGAUNNN